This 272-nucleotide ribosomal RNA is filed under the name uncultured bacterium. Its description in RNAcentral is "partial small subunit ribosomal RNA". It matches the Rfam family "Bacterial small subunit ribosomal RNA", at positions 26 to 285 of the family's 1533-position model. The record is from RNAcentral.
AGAAUCAACGCUGGCGGCGUGCCUAACACAUGCAAGUCGAACGCGAAAGGGGAGCAAUCCCUGAGUAGAGUGGCAAACGGGUGAGUAACACGUGGGUGACCUGCCUUCGAGUGGGGGGAUAACGUCCCGAAAGGGACGCUAAUACCGCAUGACAUCCUGUCCUUGGAAGGACGGAGAUCAAAGCUGGGGAUCGUAAGACCUGGCGCUUGAAGAGGGGCCCGCGCCUGAUUAGCUAGUUGGCGGGGUAACGCUCACCAAGGCUACGAUCAGUA